This 84-nucleotide transfer RNA is filed under the name Pirellulaceae bacterium. Its description in RNAcentral is "tRNA-Tyr". It matches the Rfam family "tRNA". From Rfam's summary of the family: Transfer RNA (tRNA) molecules are approximately 80 nucleotides in length. Their secondary structure includes four short double-helical elements and three loops (D, anti-codon, and T loops). The record is from RNAcentral. Lineage: Bacteria; Pseudomonadati; Planctomycetota; Planctomycetia; Pirellulales; Pirellulaceae.
GGGUCGAUUGGACUUGGGAGUCCAAGCUGUCUGUAAAACAGUCGCUCUCGAUGAGCAAUGUAGGUUCGAUUCCUUCUCGGCCCA